GAUGAACGCUGGCGGCGUGCUUAACACAUGCAAGUCGAACGGAAAGGCUCCUGCUUGCAGGGGUACUCGAGUGGCGAACGGGUGAGUAACACGUGGGUGAUCUGCCCUGCACUUCGGGAUAAGCUUGGGAAACUGGGUCUAAUACCGGAUAGGACGAUGGGUUGGAUGCCAUUGUGGAAAGUUUUUCGGUGUGGGAUGAGCUCGCGGCCUAUCAGCUUGUUGGUGGGGUAAUGGCCUACCAAGGCGUCGACGGGUAGCCGGCCUGAGAGGGUGUACGGCCACAUUGGGACUGAGAUACGGCCCAGACUCCUACGGGAGGCAGCAGUGGGGAAUAUUGCACAAUGGGCGCAAGCCUGAUGCAGCGACGCCGCGUGGGGGAUGACGGCCUUCGGGUUGUAAACUGCUUUCGCUAGGGACGAAGCGCAAGUGACGGUACCUGGAGAAGAAGCACCGGCUAACUACGUG
Molecule: ribosomal RNA, 465 nt
Filed under: uncultured bacterium
Lineage: Bacteria
Description: partial 16S ribosomal RNA
Rfam family: Bacterial small subunit ribosomal RNA
Source: RNAcentral